RNAcentral lists this ribosomal RNA (492 nucleotides) under uncultured bacterium. RNAcentral's name for it is "partial 16S ribosomal RNA". It matches the Rfam family "Bacterial small subunit ribosomal RNA", at positions 29 to 507 of the family's 1533-position model. The record is from RNAcentral.
AGUGAACGCUGGCGGUAGGCCUAACACAUGCAAGUCGAACGGCAGCACAGUAAGAGCUUGCUCUUACGGGUGGCGAGUGGCGGACGGGUGAGGAAUACAUCGGAAUCUACUUUUUCGUGGGGGAUAACGUAGGGAAACUUACGCUAAUACCGCAUACGACCUACGGGUGAAAGCAGGGGAUCUUCGGACCUUGCGCGACUGAAUGAGCCGAUGUCGGAUUAGCUAGUUGGCGGGGUAAAGGCCCACCAAGGCGACGAUCCGUAGCUGGUCUGAGAGGAUGAUCAGCCACACUGGAACUGAGACACGGUCCAGACUCCUACGGGAGGCAGCAGUAGGGAAUAUUGGACAAUGGGCGCAAGCCUGAUCCAGCCAUGCCGCGUGGGUGAAGAAGGCCUUCGGGUUGUAAAGCCCUUUUGUUGGGAAAGAAAAGCAGCAGGUUAAUACCCCGCUGUUCUGACGGUACCCAAAGAAUAAGCACCGGCUAACUACGUG